RNAcentral lists this ribosomal RNA (497 nucleotides) under uncultured bacterium. Its description in RNAcentral is "partial 16S ribosomal RNA". It matches the Rfam family "Bacterial small subunit ribosomal RNA", at positions 28 to 507 of the family's 1533-position model. The record is from RNAcentral.
GAUGAACGCUGGCGGCGUGCCUAAUACAUGCAAGUCGAGCGAACGGACGAGAAGCUUGCUUCUCUGAUGUUAGCGGCGGACGGGUGAGUAACACGUGGAUAACCUACCUAUAAGACUGGGAUAACUUCGGGAAACCGGAGCUAAUACCGGAUGAUAUUUUGAACCGCAUGGUUCAAAAGUGAAAGACGGUCUUGCUGUCACUUAUAGAUGGAUCCGCGCUGCAUUAGCUAGUUGGUAAGGUAACGGCUUACCAAGGCAACGAUGCAUAGCCGACCUGAGAGGGUGAUCGGCCACACUGGAACUGAGACACGGUCCAGACUCCUACGGGAGGCAGCAGUAGGGAAUCUUCCGCAAUGGACGAAAGCCUGACGGAGCAACGCCGCGUGAGUGAUGAAGGUCUUCGGAUCGUAAAACUCUGUUAUUAGGGAAGAACAUAUGUGUAAGUAACUGUGCACAUCUUGACGGUACCUAAUCAGAAAGCCACGGCUAACUACGUG